Molecule: unclassified non-coding RNA, 1779 nt
Filed under: Hevea brasiliensis (rubber tree)
Lineage: Eukaryota; Viridiplantae; Streptophyta; Magnoliopsida; Malpighiales; Euphorbiaceae
Source: RNAcentral
CCUAGAAUGGCAGAAUUAACCAUAAAUGAAGUAAUAUGAAAGUUUAAAGCCUAAUUAGAUGGCAACACAUCAACACUGGGGUCAAAGCAUCAAUACUCUCAAGAAUGGAUAUGGUGAUUAAUAGAAAGUUUGGGGGAAGACACCAUCUAGCUCCAAGACCCUGCCCAGAUGCCCAAAAAUACUUGACUGCCCAGAUGAGCAUCCAGUUGUACAAGAAUAUGAAACUAUUGCCCAAAGCAUUAUUGCAUUGCCAAGGCCCAGGCAAUGCUUUUAAUACAUUGGUCAUCCCUAACUAAAUAGGAGUCUAUCAGUAUCAUGAAUUAUGCAAAACAAGAUUUUUGGUUUGGCUUUCAAGUGAAACUCUGCCUAGAUGAAAAGAAAAAUGUCAACUCAAAUUUCAUUUGUAUCCCAAUUGAAGUAAAUUUUUAAUCCCUAUUAAUGUGAUAGAUAUUCGAAUAUUUAAUGCGGAGUUAAAUUGAAGUAGUAUUGUUAUAAUGAAAUUAGACAGAAAUAUAGAGGACAGAAGUUACUUGGCUACCAGUACAAAGAGCUCGAAAAUUUUCUGCACAAUAAACAUGAAAAUUUGUAAGUAGUAUGUAUUUAGGAAAAAAUAUAUCUCAAGGACAACAUAGGCAUGGCUGCUGGUUCAGUUCAAGCCAGUUCUGAGCCGAAACCAGCAGUUCUGGUUCAUUAGUUCAAGUAGACCAGUACCGGACUGUAAAGUCCCCACAGUUCCAGUCUCAAUUUGGAUCCAAUCCCGAGCUCAAUUUAGUUCCAGUUUGAUUCAACUUUGAUCAAAUCUAAACACUGAAAAUUUUUUCUAAAUUUUUUAAAGGAAAAAACUGGUUUUGACCUAGAACCAGUCUGACUGGUUUUAGUCUGGUUCAAUGCGGGUUUUAUCAAAUUGUUUCAGACUGAUUUAGAUCCAGUUUUUAUUUUGAGUUGGAACAGUCCGGUUCCAGCCCAGAACGGGACCAUGGCCGUGCCUUUUUUUCAAUAGAAGGUAACUUGCUCAUUGCAUUUGGACUCCAUACCUGCGGUCUUAGGAACUGUUUUACCAAAGAGACCAAUGACGAUACGACCUGAAAGUAAAAGGUCAUAUAUAAUGUGAUUCAAUCCAGAGAGCGUUAACAAAUACAGAUAAACUUGAGAGGCAAAUUAUAGAGAAAUGAUAGAUAGAGAUUGUCUAAUGUUGGUAGUAACUAAACAUCCAGAAUAGUUUAUCUAAUAAUAAUGCAUCAAAAGAACAGGAUGAUCAUUCCAAUUACCAGAUCCAGAUUCAUUCUCUAAACAAUUUCAGCACAUCAACAUCAAAAAAACAGAAAAUAAACAUAACUUCCAAAUUUCAACCAAAAAGUGGAAAAAGAAAAUCACUAAUGAACAAGAUCUACAAUUUUUAAAUAUCAACACUAAAUUGGUCUCAAACAAAAUUGAAUAGCAAAAAAUGACCAUAUAGCCGAUUUCAACCAUUUGGGAUUAUGGCUUAAUUGUUGUUGUGUACUAAUGAAAAAGACCUUGCUUGCUUAUUUCAUUCUAAAGAAAAACAACAAUCACACUCUAUUCAUAGAUCCUAAUACACGGAAUUACUAGCUCAUAACUGUUCAUGACUAGCACAAAAUUAUUCAUUAACAUUCAUGGGAAUAUGAUCAAAAUAGAUAAUUUUUGCAUAUAUAACCAAUAUUCAGGGGGCUUAUAAAUCAUAACAGAAAAGGGGGAAACAGAAAAACUAAUAAUUCAAAACUUAAUCCCACAACAAAUUAUAUAUAUAUAUGUGUGUGU